RNAcentral lists this ribosomal RNA (292 nucleotides) under uncultured Alphaproteobacteria bacterium. Its description in RNAcentral is "partial 16S ribosomal RNA". Lineage: Bacteria; Pseudomonadati; Pseudomonadota; Alphaproteobacteria. The record is from RNAcentral.
GGACUACUGGGGUAUCUAAUCCUGUUUGCUCCCCACGCUUUCGCGCCUCAGCGUCAGUUACGGUCCAGAGAGCCGCCUUCGCCACCGGUGUUCUUCCCAAUAUCUACGAAUUUCACCUCUACACUGGGAAUUCCACUCUCCUCUCCCGUACUCCAGCCUCAGAGUAUCAAGCGCAAUUCCCAGGUUAAGCCCGGGGCUUUCACGCCUGACUACUAAGGCCGCCUGCGCGCCCUUUACGCCCAGUAAAUCCGAACAACGCUCGCCCCCUUCGUAUUACCGCGGCUGCUGGCAC